RNAcentral lists this transfer RNA (75 nucleotides) under Candidatus Aenigmatarchaeota archaeon. Its description in RNAcentral is "tRNA-Thr". It matches the Rfam family "tRNA". From Rfam's summary of the family: Transfer RNA (tRNA) molecules are approximately 80 nucleotides in length. The record is from RNAcentral. Lineage: Archaea; Nanobdellati; Candidatus Aenigmatarchaeota.
GCCCCAGUGGCUCAGUGGUAGAGCGCUUCCUUGGUAAGGAAGAAGUCACGCGUUCAAUUCGCGUCUGGGGCUCCA